RNAcentral lists this ribosomal RNA (465 nucleotides) under uncultured bacterium. RNAcentral's name for it is "partial 16S ribosomal RNA". It matches the Rfam family "Bacterial small subunit ribosomal RNA", at positions 28 to 507 of the family's 1533-position model. The record is from RNAcentral.
GAUGAACGCUGGCGGCGUGCUUAACACAUGCAAGUCGAACGGAAAGGCUCCUGCUUGCAGGGGUACUCGAGUGGCGAACGGGUGAGUAACACGUGGGUGAUCUGCCCUGCACUUCGGGAUAAGCCUGGGAAACUGGGUCUAAUACCGGAUAGGACGAUGGUUUGGAUGCCAUUGUGGAAAGUUUUUCGGUGUGGGUUGAGCUCGCGGCCUAUCAGCUUGUUGGUGGGGUAAUGGCCUACCAAGGCGUCGACGGGUAGCCGGCCUGAGAGGGUGUACGGCCACAUUGGGACUGAGAUACGGCACAGACUCCUACGGGAGGCAGCAGUGGGGAAUAUUGCACAAUGGGAGCAAGCAUGAUGCAGCGCCGCCGCGUGGGGGAUGACGGCCUGCGGGUUGUAAACUACUUUCGCUAGGGACGAAGCGCAAGUGACGGUACCUGGAGAAGAAGCACCGGCUAACUACGUG